GUAUAAGCUGUGAAGGCGUUUCAGGAGAAUGUUUUCUUACAGAGAGAGGGAGUCAUCGGCUGUAAGCCCCCUUAAGUUCAGACAUUAUCUUAAUUUCCCGCCAGAGCUUCAUUUCUGAAAGUAUACAGUAGGAAGUGACGUUGAUGCGCGUUAAGCAUGACUCAAGUGCCUGUGAAUCAGUGUUCACGGGAAACAGGGUGGUACCGCGGUUAUUAUUCCGUCCCUUUU
RNAcentral lists this non-coding RNA (228 nucleotides) under Blautia obeum. Its description in RNAcentral is "Ruminococcus obeum T-box sequence". It matches the Rfam family "T-box leader". From Rfam's summary of the family: Uncharged tRNA acts as the effector for transcription antitermination of genes in the T-box leader family. T-boxes are found upstream of many aminoacyl-tRNA synthetase genes and some amino acid biosynthetic genes usually in Gram-positive bacteria. Lineage: Bacteria; Bacillati; Bacillota; Clostridia; Lachnospirales; Lachnospiraceae. The record is from RNAcentral.